Molecule: ribosomal RNA, 447 nt
Filed under: uncultured bacterium
Lineage: Bacteria
Description: partial 16S ribosomal RNA
Rfam family: Bacterial small subunit ribosomal RNA
Source: RNAcentral
CCUACGGGUGGCAGCAGUAGGGAAUUUUCGGCAAUGGGGGGCACCCUGACCGAGCAACGCCGCGUGAACGAAGAAGUUCUUCGUAAUUUAAAGUUCUUUUAACAGGGAAGAAAGAGAAAUUUGACGGUACCUGAAGAAUGAGCUCCGGCUAACUACGUGCCAGCAGCCGCGGUAAUACGUAGGUGUCAAGCGUUGUCCGGAUUUACUGGGUGUAAAGGGCGUGCAGCCGGGAAGACAAGUCAGAUGUUAAAUCCCGCGGCUCAACCGCGGAACUGCAUUUGAAACUGUUUUUCUUGAGUACCGGAGAGGUCAGCGGAAUUCGUUGUGUAGCGGUGAAAUGCGUAGAUAUAAGGAAGAACACCAGUGGCGAAGGCGGAUGACUGGACGGCAACUGACGGUGAGGCGCGAAAGCGUGGGGAGCAAACAGGAUUAGAUACCCUGGUAGUC